AGAGUUUGAUCAUGGCUCAGAGCGAACGCUGGCGGCGUGCCUAACACAUGCAAGUCGAACGUGAAAGGGAGCAAUCCUGAGUAAAGUGGCGCACGGGUGAGUAACGCGUAGGUAAUCUACCCCAGAGUCUGGAAUAACCUGCCGAAAGGCGGGCUAAUACUGGAUAGAGCGACGGAAUCCGUAAUUGGGUUUUUCGGGAAAGGGAGGAAGCAAUUCCCUUUGCUCUGGGAUGAGCCUGCGUCUCAUUAGCUAGUUGGUGGGGUAACGGCCUACCAAGGCAUUGAUGGGUAGCUGGUCUGAGAGGAUGAUCAGCCACACUGGAACUGAAACACGGUCCAGACUCCUACGGGAGGCAGCAGUGGGGAAUCUUGCGCAAUGGACGAAAGUCUGACGCAGCCACGCCGCGUGAGUGAAGAAGGCCUUCGGGUUGUAAAGCUCUGUCGCCCGGGACGAAAAAUCAGGAGGUGAAUAGCCUUUUGAUCUGACGGUACCGGAGAGAGACCC
This 504-nucleotide ribosomal RNA is filed under the name uncultured Polyangiaceae bacterium. RNAcentral's name for it is "bacterial SSU rRNA". It matches the Rfam family "Bacterial small subunit ribosomal RNA", at positions 8 to 491 of the family's 1533-position model. The record is from RNAcentral. Lineage: Bacteria; Pseudomonadati; Myxococcota; Polyangiales; Polyangiaceae.